UACGGAGGGUGCAAGCGUUAAUCGGAAUUACUGGGCGUAAAGCGCGCGUAGGCGGCAAAUUAAGUUGGAUGUGAAAGCCCCAGGCUUAACCUGGGAACGGCAUUCAAAACUAAUUAGCUAGAGUAUAGUAGAGGAUGGUGGAAUUUCCUGUGUAGCGGUGGAAUGCAUAGAUAUAGGAAAGAACAUCAGUGGCGAAGGCGGCCAUCUGGGCUAAUACUGACGCUGAGGUGCGAAAGCGUGGGGAGCAAACAGG
RNAcentral lists this ribosomal RNA (253 nucleotides) under uncultured bacterium. RNAcentral's name for it is "partial 16S ribosomal RNA". It matches the Rfam family "Bacterial small subunit ribosomal RNA", at positions 524 to 776 of the family's 1533-position model. The record is from RNAcentral.